CCUACGGGAGGCAGCAGUGAGGAAUAUUGGUCAAUGGGCGCGAGCCUGAACCAGCCAAGUCGCGUGAGGGAAGACGGUCCUCUGGAUUGUAAACCUCUUUUGUCGGGGAGCAAAAGACGCCACGCGUGGCGUUCCGAGAGUACCCGAAGAAAAAGCAUCGGCUAACACCGCGCCAGCCGCCGCGGUAAUACGGAGGAUGAGAGCGUUAUCCGGAUUUAUUGGGUUUAAGGGGUGAGCAGGCGGAAGAUCAAGUCAGCGGUAAAAUUGAGAGGCUCAACCUCUUAGAGCCGUUGAAACUGGUGUUCUUGAGUGAGUGAGAAGUAUGCGGAAUGCGUGGUGUAGCGGUGAAAUGCAUAGAUAUCACGCAGAACUCCGAUUGCGAAGGCAGCAUACCGGCGCUCAACUGACGCUCAUGCACGAAAGUGUGGGUAUCGAACAGGAUUAGAUACCCCGGUAGUC
This 459-nucleotide ribosomal RNA is filed under the name uncultured bacterium. RNAcentral's name for it is "partial 16S ribosomal RNA". It matches the Rfam family "Bacterial small subunit ribosomal RNA", at positions 338 to 795 of the family's 1533-position model. The record is from RNAcentral.